Molecule: long non-coding RNA, 2972 nt
Organism: Salmo salar (Atlantic salmon)
Lineage: Eukaryota; Metazoa; Chordata; Actinopteri; Salmoniformes; Salmonidae
Source: RefSeq, a predicted model, not a curated record
GCAGGGUUGAAAUUAACACCCGCCAAGCACCAAAUGCGGGUAGAUUUUCUGUUUGUCGAGUAAAUCUCAGAAGGCUAUCCGCCACACUGGCGGGUAAAUGUUUGUACCAAAAUAGUCAUGUAAGAAUAUAUCUGGCAUGAUGUCUCGGUUUGCCAGCCACAGACUGUCUCGAGUGCUCCUAGUUUCGCAGCACUGUUUACCGUUCAGGACGUCAGCUACUCGACAACGCUCACCUGCCAUGGGUCUGCUGCUAGCUACCGUUCAUUAAAUAGCUGUUAUUUGGUGACAUUUACCUGGAUUAGGCCAUCCUUUGAAACGAAAACACACAGACGAAAAGGAGGACAAAUCACAUUUAAAAAAGAUAGUUUGGUGAGAAUGGAGGUUUGGAGAUAAAGUAGUUUCAAGAGGCUGGCUACAGUAUGAUGCUGUGGUGAUGAGUUGUUCUGUGUGUCGCCAGUAUGCUAAAGAUACAAGCAGAAACAACUCAUUUGUCAUCAGAAAUAAAACAAUGAAGCUGGAGAACAUUCGUGACCAUGAACGCAGCAAGUGUCACAUUGCCUGGGUGUCUGUGUCCCGGACUCAAUCGUGUCCCGGAGCCUCUCCUCUUGACACCCUCUGUGACGGUGUUAAUGGCAAUGUCAGAGCAGACCAGCACGAAGAUGAAGAUCCUGUUUAGGACUGUACAUGCCAUUGGCAAGAAGGCGAGACCACAUUCUGACUUGGAGUGGAUGUGUGAGUAAGUGAAAAUGUUGUUACUCUUGUAGCUUGACUAGUACUGUUGUAGCUAGUGUUUUCAAGUCUAUUUAGCAGACGUGGUCCAGUAUUGUAGGUUAUUUCUCAGCUCUUGAUAAGCUUUGGUUCACCUCCAAAUAGUGUAUAAAUACCAUAACAUUAUAGGCCUAUUGAUGCUGACAUGGAUCUCCAUGCUUUCCUAUGGCUCUGUAACAUUCUAUUUUAAUGUUUGUCUCCAGAUGCUGUUUACAUUUUAAACCAUUAUGACACAAUUUACCAGCCUUAGUGUUGAUCCUUAAGUAAACAAAGGGUAGAAGGCUAAUUUAGCACAAUCAACUGCCAGCUAUAUCGGAUAAUAUGAUUUGUAUAUUUAAUUAUUGAAUUAAUUUGAUGUUUGAUUUUUGCAGUUCGGACGAAAAAACAAGGAAUCGCUGUGGGCUCAACAUAUAGAAAUGAGAAGCAGGCCAAAGAGUUUAUGCACCAUAUUGCAGAGGUGGAGAGACACACCAUAUUUCUCUCCGUCAUGUCAGAUGCCUCCACAGACAGUUCUGUGAAAGAGGAGUUAGUUUGUCAGAUUCUGUCACAAGGGAAAGAUCGAGUCGAAGUUUGUUGGCAUCAAGUCAGUGAAGGCAGACGCGGCACACAAGCAACACUGUCAGUGCCAUCAUGGAGGGAGUGUGUGAUGAGUGGGGGAGCAAGUUAUUCGCUCUGGGAACAGAUGGAGCUGCUGUGAUGACCGGAGCCAAGAAUGGUGUGGUCAGCCGGGUGAUGGGAAACAGGGCCUACAUCAUCGGCAUCCACUGUAUGGCACACUGCCUUCAACUAACCUUUUCUGAUGCUAUCCGGUCCAACGUGAUGUUUCAGAAAGUAGAAGACCUCCUCAGUGGGCUCUACACCAGUCCACUAAACAGGGAAAACCUGGUAAACAGCUUCCAGGCUCUUGGCCACACUCCACUGGUGCCCACCAGAUUUGGCAGGACCCGAUGGGUAGGACACAUAUUGCGUGCACUGGACCACUUCCUGCGAGGUUACCAGGGGCUUGUCCAGCACCUGGAACAGAUUCAAUCUGCUGAUGCCCAAAAUGUCUGAGGUGUCCAGCAGGCCAAGGCCAGGAAAUACUACAGUACUGCGAGGGAGGCUGUUAUCCGCUUCUGUGGCUUCCUGCAUGACACACGAAACACACCUGAGCUGCCUGUCUGCAGAGGUCCACCAUCACCAUAGCAGAAGCCCACAGCUCAUUGUGCUCAACACAGGCAGUACUUAAGAAGUACAAAACCAGAUUUUGGUGACACUGAACUGGAAACCCUGGUGGACCACUUUAAGCCUGUCCUGGAGACCUCUGGCAUCCAUGUUGAAAGGAUCCCUGACCAGUGGACUGUCCUGAAGGUGCUGAUGUACUAAGAGCCCCAGUCCCUGCAGAAGAUGUUCUGGUUCUGUGUCAACAGGAGCCAUCAGCAUUCCUGCCCUGAUUUGCUGGCAUUGGUUGACCUGGUCCCGUCCUUCCUUGCCUCCACAGCUGAAUGUGGAAGAGGUUUUAAUACCAUGAAACAGGUGAAAAUCGAUUGGCGGUCCAACCUAAAGUCUGAUACACUGUCAGAUCUCCUUAUGGUCCAGCUGUCCUCUCCAGAGAUCAGGGAGUAUGAUCUGAUAAAAGCUGUGAUGCUGUGGCACCAGGACUCUGUCAGGAGCAAGAGGCCAGACUUCAUGGACCGUGCAAAGAGGGUGAUUGCGGUGGAGAGUGAGGAGUCUGAGGAGGUUUAAGUUUAUUAAAAUGAUUAAGCAUCUGAUAGGUUUACAAAACCUUCAAAUGUACUGUUAUGUUUGAUCCUUAAGUACAUAUAAUAGCAAAUACUUCAGUAGAAUUUUGAGUUCAAGACUUAAGUUGUAUUCAGGCUGGGAAAUUAAAUCUAGCCACAGCCAAAAUUAACCAGCGUCUGAUAAGUCUCUGUUUUACCUGUAUUUUAUCAGGGUAUUUCUACUCAAAGUAAAGGAUUUGUUGACCUGCUUCCACUGCACUUCUCAUAACUAUCUUACCAUUGCUGUUGCCCUGUUUUGACUUCUAUGUAUUCUUAUUCAUUGUAUCUGAUAUGUUUGUUUAUUUCAUUGUGUGCCCACUGUUUGGCGUGUUUUCACUCUGUACAGCACUUUUGGUCAACUACAGUUGUUUCUAAAUGUGCUCUACAAAUAAACUUGAUUUGAUUAACCGCUUAUCAAUAUAUUAAAAUCAUGUUUCAAAUUUU